RNAcentral lists this ribosomal RNA (254 nucleotides) under uncultured bacterium. RNAcentral describes it as "partial 16S ribosomal RNA". It matches the Rfam family "Bacterial small subunit ribosomal RNA", at positions 524 to 776 of the family's 1533-position model. The record is from RNAcentral.
UACGGGGGGGGCAAGCGUUGUUCGGAAUCACUGGGCGUAAAGGGCCAGUAGGCGGCUUGGCAAGUCAGGUGUGAAACCUCCAGGCUCAACCUGGAGACGCCACUUGAUACUGCUAUGGCUAGAGUCCGGUAGGGGAGCAUGGAAUACCCGGUGUAGCGGUGAAAUGCGCAGAUAUCGGGUGGAACACCAGUGGCGAAGGCGGUGCUCUGGGCCGGAACUGACGCUGAAUGGCGAAAGCGUGGGUAGCAAACAGG